RNAcentral lists this long non-coding RNA (205 nucleotides) under Mytilus galloprovincialis (Mediterranean mussel). The record is from RNAcentral. Lineage: Eukaryota; Metazoa; Mollusca; Bivalvia; Mytilida; Mytilidae.
GUUGUCAAUGUUUUUAUUUGUUUUGAUGCUUUAUAUGAUUACAGGAUAUUUUCUAGUGUUUUACCUCUUAUUUUUUAAGUGGCGAGGAUCUUCAGAGGUCUCCACGUUUCACAGAUUGCUCUGAUGUGCAACGGCUGUUUUGCCAGACAAGCUGGGGCCGAGGGACGCCAGAGCACGUCCCAUAUCAAAAAGUAGAUAUUUCGCC